CGCUCUUCGGGGUGCAGUGGCGGACGGGUGAGUAACACGUACGUAACCUGACCCUUUGUGGGGGAUACCGGUCCGAAAGGGCCGCUAAUACCGCAUGUGAUCGACCGGGAUACCGGUUGCGGAAAGGCCUACGGGUCGCAAGGGGAGGGGCGUGCGGCCGAUUAGCUGGUUGGUGGGGUAACGGCCUACCAAGGCGACGAUCGGUAGCUGGGCUGAGAGGCCGAACAGCCACACUGGGACUGAGACACGGCCCAG
RNAcentral lists this ribosomal RNA (255 nucleotides) under uncultured bacterium. RNAcentral describes it as "partial 16S ribosomal RNA". It matches the Rfam family "Bacterial small subunit ribosomal RNA", at positions 72 to 334 of the family's 1533-position model. The record is from RNAcentral.